CGUAGGGAGCAAGCGUUGUCCGGAAUCAUUGGGCGUAAAGCGCGCGUAGGUGGCCACAUAAGUCCGUUGUGAAAGUCAAAGGCUCAACCUUUGAAAGCCGAUGGAUACUGUGUGGCUAGAGUACGGAAGAGGCGAGUGGAAUUCCUGGUGUAGCGGUGGAAUGCGCAGAUAUCAGGAGGAACACCAAUAGCGAAGGCAGCUCGCUGGGACGUUACUGACACUGAGGCGCGAAAGCGUGGGGAGCGAACAGGAUUAGAUACCCUGGUAGUCCACGCCGUAAACGAUGGAUACUAGGUGUGGGAGGUGUCGACUCCUCCCGUGCCGUCGCUAACGCACUAAGUAUCCCGCCUGGGGAGUACGGCCGCAAGGCUA
RNAcentral lists this ribosomal RNA (372 nucleotides) under uncultured organism. Its description in RNAcentral is "bacterial SSU rRNA". It matches the Rfam family "Bacterial small subunit ribosomal RNA", at positions 526 to 896 of the family's 1533-position model. The record is from RNAcentral.